RNAcentral lists this long non-coding RNA (6660 nucleotides) under Nicotiana benthamiana. Its description in RNAcentral is "long non-coding RNA (NBEN_LNC011288)". Lineage: Eukaryota; Viridiplantae; Streptophyta; Magnoliopsida; Solanales; Solanaceae. The record is from RNAcentral.
GUUCUCAAUAAAUAGUUUCAAUUUUAGUAUUUUCUUGUACAAUUCCAAUCAGUCAAUAAAAUCUCUAUCUACAGUCCAAAUUCCAUUUUAAUUUCUAAGUACAUUACAAUUGGUAUUAGAGCUCUUUCGUGGCCCUAAAAUAAUGACAAUUACAGAGACUAGAUCGAAAACUACUGAAGAAAACAUUAAAAGAGUGGAGAAUCAACUGCAAGAACACAUGGCUUCGACGAAUCAGAAAUUUGAAGAUCUGAGUAGCAAAUUGGAUCUUCUAAUGGAGAAGCUUCUUCCCACCCACAAUGGAAUUUUAGGAAGUGGUCAUCGAGAAAGAUUACAGCUAAAGAACUCUGGAGCUAAGCAUAGGUAUGGGUAGGCAGCAUAAUCUUCACAUGGAAGAGGACAUUUCAGUCACAAAAUCGAAUUCCCUUACUUUGAUGGAGUUGGAUCUGAUCCUUGCUCAUGGAUACGAAGGUGAGAACCAUACUUCCAAUAUAACCAGGUACUAUAUCCUCAACAAAAACUAGAAGAUGCAGUGUUUCAUCUGAUGGGCAAAGCUGAAGCUUGAUUCUUCUCAUACCAGGUGAGUCAUGGUACUAUCUUCUGCAAGGAAUUCUGUGAAGAGAUCUGCAGGAGAUUUAUUGAAGCAGAUAAUAGUAAAUUUAAUUUAAUUAGUGAAUUUAAAAAAUUAGAACAAAAGGGCACAAUCCAUAAAUAUCUAGAAAAGUUUGCAGAAUACUAAUUAGGAGACUUACUAUUCCAGAAGAAUUUCUCAUAGAAUUCUUUGUGGAAGGGCUCAAGGAAGAAAUUAGGAACACUGUGAAAAUGCUCAACCCUUACACAUUGAGCCAAGCUUUGCAAAAGGCUAGGUUUCAGGAGAGGGUCAUAGGAGCCCAAAUAAGGAAGAGCCGGCUCACUUGGAACAAAGGCCCGGUGCAAAAUACUAGUGCUAUAGUGAACAAAUCUCAAGGGAAUUGGUCUAGAGAAGGGCAGGGAACACAUCCAAUGCAGGGAUGAGAAGAAACCACAAUUUGUGCUACAAGUGUGGAGAUAAAUGGGUUACUGGCCAUCAAUGAAAGAAUAAGCAGCUCAAUGCAAUGACAGUUGAGGAAGAAAUAAGAGAGACAGCCCAAACAACUGACCUACCUCAGAAGUUGGAGUUUAUUGAAGACUCACAGGAGCUGGAAAUGGUACAGGAAUUUGUUAGCCUCAAUGCCUUGUCUAGAACAGAGGUUCCAAACACAAUCAAUUUGAAUGGUACAGCCAAAAAGAAAGUAUUAACUAUACUUUUAGAUUUAGGAAGAACCAAUAACUUCUUAGAUAUGGAGACCGGUAGACAGAUUGGGUGUAUACUAAAGGAAGCUAGACCUAUGAGAGUUAUUGUAGCAAAUGGGAAUCAAUUGAUGAGUCUUUAUUCUUGCCCUAUGUUCAAGUGGAAGAUACAAGGGAUAGAAUUUGAGGACUCAGUGAGAUUAAUUCAGUUGGGGGGUUGUGAUAUAAUACUAGGGGUGAUUGGAUGAAAGCUCAUAAUCCAGUUCUAUUGAACGUUGUAGCAUAUAAAGCUAUAGUGUCACAUAAGGGAAAAGGGUGGAGCUUAAGGGACUGUACGACCAGGCCAUGUUGCAGAGCAUGUCUAGUGGUAGUACAAGACAGUUGUUCAAAAAGGAAAAGGUAUUCUGGAGGCACUUAUUCACAGUAACAGCAACAAAGAUGGAAAAACAAGAGGGGUUACCUUCAGAACUUUCAGGAGUGCUAUAGCAGUACAGUGAUGUGGUUGCAGAGCCAACUUCCUUGACUCCUAAAAAACAGCAUGACCACUUCAUACCACUGAAACCAGCAUCAACUCCAGUUAGUAUCAGGCCCUACAGGUACAACUACUUCCAGAAAAAUGAGAUAGAAAAACAAGUUAAAGACAUGUUAUCUAAUGGUAUUAUACAGCCUAGUCAUUCCCCUAUUCUCAUCACAUGUACUUUUGGUUAAAAAGAAAGAUGGUAGUUGAAGGUUUUACAUUGAUUAUAGGGAACUUAAUAAGAUGACCGUUGAAGAUAAGUUCCCAAUCCCAUUAGUAGAUGAUUUACUGGAUGAAUUAAGUGGUCAUCAUCAAAUUAGGAUGAAUGAGGAAGCUAUUCACAAAACAGCCUUCAUAACACACUUGGGUCACUAUGAGUUUAAGGUAAUGCCAUUUGGGCUAACUAAUGCUCCUUCCACCUUUCAAAGUCUUAUGAAUCAUGUGUUCCGGGAUUACUUGAGACAGUUUGUAUUAGUUUUCUUUGAUGACAUUUUAGUAUACAGUUCUACUAUUCAGAAACAUAAGGAACAUCUAACAAAGGUGUUGGAAGUAUUAAGAAGAGAACGGUUGUAUGCCAAGAGGUCUAAAUGUUCUUUUGGCCAAGAAAAGGUGGAGUAUUUAGGCCAUAUCAUUACUAGAGAAGGAGUCACUACCGAUCCUUCCAAAAUAGAAGUUAUGGUGAAUUGGCCUAUACCUAAGUCAAUUAAGGCAUUGAGGGGAUUUUUGGGUUUAACAGGAUAUUAUAGAAGGUUUGUGCAAUCCUAUGGGGUAAUCAGUAAAUCCCUGACUUAUCUACUCAAAAAGAAUUCUUUUCAGUGGGGGCAAGAAGCAGAAACAACCUUCAACGACCUUAAACAGGCAAUGACCACUACACAUGUUUUAGCAUUGGCAGACUUUACAAAGAUAAUUAUGGUAGAAACUGAUGCAUGUUCAAAAGGUAUGGGAGUUGUAUUAAUGCAGGAAGGAAGACCCUUAGCAUUUUUUAGCAAAGCCUUAGCCCUAGACAUUGGGGGUUGUCUACUUAUAAGAAGGAGUAUAUGGUAGUCCUAGCAGCAGUAGACAAAUGAAGACAUUACUUACAAGGGGGACACUUUAUCAUCACGACUGAUCAUCACAACUUAAAAUACCUAUUGGAAUAGAAAGUAACAACUGCCCUUCAACAGAAGGGGUUAACUAAGUUGCUAGGGUUGGAUUAUGAAGUACAAUACAAAAAAGGGACAGAGAACGGGGUAGUUGAUGCAUUAUCUAGAAGAGAGGUAGAGGAUUCCAGCCUAUCUGCCAUCACUACUACUGAACCUACUUGGAUGCAGGAAUUUGUUCAGGGUUACCAGGAUGAUCCUAUAGUGACAUAAUUGUCUAUUGAGUUAGUAACAGCCCCUGGAAGCAAGCCACACUAUACCUUACAGCAAGGGAUUAUAAGGUAUAAACAGAGGAUAUACACAGGAAGAGGAACCCACCUUAGAAACAAGAUUUUUGAGGUAUUACAUCAGUCACCCUUGAGUGGCCAUGCAUGACAGAUGGGUACUUAUAGAAGGAUUAAAGAAGUAUUCUACUGGCCCAACAUGAAGGCUGAGAUAAUAAAGAAAGUUUCAGAAUGUGAUGUUUGCCAAAGAAUUAAAACAGAGAAUGUGAUCUCUCCCGGGUUAUUGCAAUCAUUGCGUAUCCCAGAAAUGCCAUGGCAGGACAUAGCCAUGCACUUCAUUAAGGACUUCCUAAAUCCGGUAGUAUUGAAGUAAUAUUGGUUGUAAUGGAUAGACUAACUAAGUAUGGCCAUUUUAUAGGCCUCAAACACCCUUAUAUAGCAGAUGAUGUAGCUGAGACUUUUCUAAAAGAGAUAUACAAGUUGCAUAGAUUGCCAAGGACUAUUGUAAUGGACAUGGAUGCCAUUUUUACUAGUCAAUUUUGGCAACAACUCUUUAAAACUAUGGGGACUAAGGUGAAUAUGACUACUUCCUAUCAUCCCAUAUCUGAUGAUCAAACAUAAAGGUUAAACAGAUGAUUGGAGUCCUAUUUGAGAUCUAUGGUAUUCACCAAUCCUAAACAAUGGGUGAAGUGGCUACCUCUAGCUGAGUGGUGGUGUAACACCAAUUACCACAACUUACUAAAGUCCACCCCUUUUCAAGCCUUGUAUUGCUUCCCACCCAUACAGGUGUUAUACCCCAUUUUAAUACGGGUCAAACUAAAGUAUAACAUAUUGGUAAUUUUGCGGGUUUAAUUAAUUAAGAGAGUCGCCACCUAAUUAAUUUAAAGGUGAAUUAGGACACCGGUUUUAGCUAAGUAGUGCUUAAAAUUAACUCUGUUUUAUGAUCCACUUAACUUAAGGGUAUGGGUAAGGGUUCUAAUUAAUCUUAUAGGGAAGGUUUUUAAAGCACCCUAUACGAUUCGUUCAUAACGGUUAACCGGCCAAACUUAGGUUGAUUCACUAUAAGUAGAACAUUUAAUAUUUUAUACAUAGUUGGAAAAUAACAUGUGACUAUUUUUAUAUAUAUUAAAAUAUUACUAAAUGAGUAAAACUUGAGUUUGACAUGUCAAAGAAACACUACAAAGGACAUUUUUUCUAAAACCUUAAUUAGACUUGAACAUUGUAAGAAAGAAGCAAGAUUGUUAUGGAUAAAUUAUCACAAAGAACAGUAAGUAUUUCCAAAAUUGACGUGGGCAAAUAUUUUAGAAAUAAAUAUAUUAUCUCAAAUUGUUGAUUUUAAAAGCCCUUAAGACUCAUGUAAAUAAAAUCGACGAUUUAUUAUUAGCUUGAGUACAUGCCACUAAACAAAAUACAAUUUAGCUACCAAAUAUAAUAUAAGACAAACCCCAAAUAAAUCGACAAUCAUAAAGAAAUUAAACGAAUGAUAAGAGAAAGAAAAAUGAAAGACGUCAUAGGCGUCCCCAAGUGUUUCACUUCUUUUGUUGAUAUCUGGGACUCUAUGGAAGACGGUAUGGGAUACUAUGACUCCAUGCUCGGAUAGUGAGGAAGAAUCUUGUAUUAAGACUCCAAGGGUUGCUCCAAGUGCACAUGCAAAGAAAGAAAACAAAUCAAAGGAAUUAGAGAAGAGAUUCAAACACAUAAAAAGGGACUCAAACACACUGUUAGCUAUCACGAUUUCAAACCGUGCAUUAUUUCUAAGUUUACCAAGAUUAAUAAGUUAAAGAAAGCGUCCUUAGCACAGCUAAAAAAGAGAAUUUUUAAUGUCUUCAAAAUAACAUGACAAGAUAUAAUAUUUCCUAUAUUUACUUGAGAUCUAAAUGGGUUACACUAAUUACGCUAGUAUAAAUAUAUCCUUCUUAUACGACAGUGAAGUAAGAAACUUCAUUAUUAACACACUUGAGUUGAACUAGUACACAUGCUAUCUAAUAUUUCAACAUCAUGCUUAACAAAGUACACAUAUAUUCCACAAAGUAUUGGCAUGAAAACUAUAGGCAUGGUUUUGAGGUUAUGAAAGUCUCAUACACAUUAAUCAUCUUUUGCUUAAACACAUAGGUGAUUAACGCCUAGAUACAUGCCUUCUACUAAAUACCUUAAUCGAUACAUUAAUUAUUAACAUGGUCUAAGCAUACCUUCUAAUAAAGGUCUACUUUCACGUUUAAAAACAAGGAUCAGUAACAAUCUAUGCCUAAAAUUUAUGCUCAACAUCAUAUAUGAAUAUAACAUGCUACUUACAGAUUUAUUAAUGAUGAAUAAAUAAAUCCUUACGAUAUGAUCUGUAACAGGAUUAAACACACAAGCAGAGUACCCGAUCCUUUAUACAUACAACUUGAAAAAAAUACCAGUGGUAAUAAGUUCUAAAGAUUGCUUAUAUUAAAAUUAUACACUCGUGAUUUGCUUCUACACAUUGCUUAGAAUUAAUAGAAUAUAUUACCACCACCUACCUUCAUGAUACCUAAGAAUGAGUACUAAACUAAUUGAUAACACCUAAAAAUGUGAUUUAAAAAAGAAGCAAAAUCAUCACAAGAAGAAGAAAAAAACUGACCUGUUUGAGCGCAGCAAACUGGAGCGCAUCAACCAGAUCUACUAUUUUCGGCCCCGGAUCAGCUACUUCAGAUACUCGUCUCAGUUUUUUGGGGUAAAAGGCGUAGCUGAAGCUUUUGGUUAAAGGAGGGGCUGAAGCUUGUUGGUUUAAAGAGAGGUGCAACGGCUCCAAAAAAGCUCCCCCCAUAUCUUCCAAAUGCAAGUAUUUAUAGGUGAAAAGAUAGGGUUCAUGUUCCUAUUUUGAAAUUCAAAAUCCCAUGACAGAGAAGGAUCACGGGUCGAUAUUGGGCUUCCAAAAGAGCCAUUUUAAUCUCUGCUCUAGUGAUUCUUUGCAUAAAAAUCAGAAGAAAAAGAAAGUUUCUUUGGUACCUUGUGUUGACUAAAGCGUUGAAGACAAAAGAGAUACAAUGAACUUGCUCAAAAAUGAAAGGGGCAAGGUUUGUCCAUGGGUAAAGUAAACCUUGACUUUGCAUAAAAAUGGAAGAGAGAAGAGGAGUGAGGAAGAUGAUAGUAACGGCUGUGAAGAGAAUAAAAAUGAAAGGGAGAACCUAAUUAUGUUUUGGGCUGAUCAAAGUUUCUUUGGUACCUUGUGUUGACCAAAGCGUUGAAGACAAAAGAGAUACAAUGAACUUGCUAAAAAAUGAAAGGGGCAAGGUUUGUCCAUGGGUAAAGUAAAGCUUGACUUUGCAUAAAAAUGGAAGAGAGAGAAGAGGAGUGAGGAAGAUGGUAGUAACGGCUGUGAAUACAAUAAAAAUGAAAGAGAGAACCUAAUUACAUAUAGAUACUAUAUAACAAACCUUAUUACCACCAAUAUUUAAGGUUUAUAUUUAUUAUAUUUAAGCAUACUAACUUUUAAUUUAUGUUCCAAAAUUCUAUUUAAGUCUUUAUUAUCAACUUAUUAAUUAUAGGCAUG